UAAUAGUGUAUAUUAAAGUUGUUGCAGUUAAAAAGCUCGUAGUUGAAUGUUGGUGUCGAACGAGCGGUCAGCUUCGGCUGUACUGCUCUCUCGACUCCUUCCUUCUGUGGACUACGUCGCACUUUACUGUGUGGCGCUAGGACGCAGAUCGUUUACUGUGAAAAAAUUAGAGUGUUCAAAGCAGGCCGUACGCUUGAAUACAUUAGCGUGGAAUAAUGGAAUAGGACGUCGGGCCUAUUUUGUUGGUUCUAGGACCGUCGUAAUGAUUAAUAGGGACAGUUGGGGCCGUUUAUAUUCCGUAGUCAGAGGUGAAAUUCUUGGAUUUACGGAAGAUAAACUACUGCGAAAGCAUUCGGCAAGGAUGUUUUCGUUAA
This 374-nucleotide ribosomal RNA is filed under the name uncultured eukaryote. Its description in RNAcentral is "partial 18S ribosomal RNA". It matches the Rfam family "Eukaryotic small subunit ribosomal RNA", at positions 592 to 976 of the family's 1831-position model. The record is from RNAcentral.